RNAcentral lists this ribosomal RNA (464 nucleotides) under Vreelandella stevensii. Its description in RNAcentral is "partial 16S ribosomal RNA". It matches the Rfam family "Bacterial small subunit ribosomal RNA", at positions 338 to 795 of the family's 1533-position model. The record is from RNAcentral. Lineage: Bacteria; Pseudomonadati; Pseudomonadota; Gammaproteobacteria; Oceanospirillales; Halomonadaceae.
CCUACGGGGUGCUGCAGUGGGGAAUAUUGGACAAUGGGCGAAAGCCUGAUCCAGCCAUGCCGCGUGUGUGAAGAAGGCCUUCGGGUUGUAAAGCACUUUCAGUGGGGAAGAAAGCCUUGGGGCUAAUACCCUCGAGGAAGGACAUCACCCACAGAAGAAGCACCGGCUAACUCCGUGCCAGCAGCCGCGGUAAUACGGAGGGUGCGAGCGUUAAUCGGAAUUACUGGGCGUAAAGCGCGCGUAGGGGGUCUGAUAAGCCGGUUGUGAAAGCCCCGGGCUCAACCUGGGAACGGCAUCCGGAACUGUCAGGCUAGAGUGCAGGAGAGGAAGGUAGAAUUCCCGGUGUAGCGGUGAAAUGCGUAGAGAUCGGGAGGAAUACCAGUGGCGAAGGCGGCCUUCUGGACUGACACUGACGCUGAGGUGCGAAAGCGUGGGUAGCAAACAGGAUUAGAUACCCAGUAGUC